GACGUAGGGUGCAAGCGUUGUCCGGAUUUAUUGGGCGUAAAGAGCUCGUAGGCGGCUUGUUGCGUCGACUGUGAAAACCCGCGGCUUAACCGCGGGCUUGCAGUUGAUACGGGCAGGCUAGAGUUCGGUAGGGGAGACUGGAAUUCCUGGUGUAGCGGUGAAAUGCGCAGAUAUCAGGAGGAACACCGGUGGCGAAGGCGGUUCUCUGGGCAUUACCUGACGCUGAGGAGCGAAAGUGUGGGGAGCGAACAGG
RNAcentral lists this ribosomal RNA (253 nucleotides) under uncultured bacterium. RNAcentral's name for it is "partial 16S ribosomal RNA". It matches the Rfam family "Bacterial small subunit ribosomal RNA", at positions 524 to 776 of the family's 1533-position model. The record is from RNAcentral.